UAGGCAUACCUGGUUCUGGAUUAACAUU
RNAcentral lists this non-coding RNA (28 nucleotides) under Mus musculus (house mouse). The record is from RNAcentral. Lineage: Eukaryota; Metazoa; Chordata; Mammalia; Rodentia; Muridae.